AUUGAACGCUGGCGGCAUGCUUUACACAUGCAAGUCGAACGGCAGCGCGGGCUUCGGCCUGGCGGCGAGUGGCGAACGGGUGAGUAAUGCAUCGGAACGUGCCCAGUAGUGGGGGAUAGCCCGGCGAAAGCCGGAUUAAUACCGCAUACGACCUGAGGGCGAAAGCGGGGGACCGAAAGGCCUCGCGCUAUUGGGGCGGCCGAUGUCGGAUUAGCUAGUUGGUGGGGUAAAGGCUUACCAAGGCGACGAUCCGUAGCUGGUCUGAGAGGACGACCAGCCACACUGGGACUGAGACACGGCCCAGACUCCUACGGGAGGCAGCAGUGGGGAAUUUUGGACAAUGGGGGCAACCCUGAUCCAGCCAUGCCGCGUGCGGGAAGAAGGCCUUCGGGUUGUAAACCGCUUUUGUUCGGGAAGAAAUCCUCUGGGCUAAUACCCCGGGGGGAUGACGGUACCGGAAGAAUAAGCACCGGCUAACUACGUG
This 484-nucleotide ribosomal RNA is filed under the name uncultured bacterium. Its description in RNAcentral is "partial 16S ribosomal RNA". It matches the Rfam family "Bacterial small subunit ribosomal RNA", at positions 28 to 507 of the family's 1533-position model. The record is from RNAcentral.